Molecule: ribosomal RNA, 170 nt
Filed under: uncultured Banisveld landfill bacterium BVA02
Lineage: Bacteria
Description: partial 16S ribosomal RNA
Rfam family: Bacterial small subunit ribosomal RNA
Source: RNAcentral
CCUACGGGAGGCAGCAGUUAGGAAUAUUGGGCAAUGGGCGAAAGCCUGACCCAGCGACACCGCGUGGGGGAAGAAGACCUUCGGGUUGUAAACUCCUUUUAUUGGGGAAGAAUAAUGACGGUACCCGAUGAAUAAGCCCCGGCUAACUACUUGCCAGCAGCCGCGGUAAU